This is a non-coding RNA of Microtus oregoni (creeping vole), 380 nucleotides long. NCBI's taxonomy places the organism in Eukaryota, Metazoa, Chordata, Mammalia, Rodentia, Cricetidae. The record is from the annotation of a RefSeq genome assembly.
GCACAGACAUGAGGGCACACAUUCAGCACCUGGGGUUGUUGCUGCUCUGGCUUACAGGUGCCAAAUGUGACAUUCAGAUGACCCAGUCUCCUGCUUCCCUGUCUGCAUCUCUGGGAGACAGUGUCACCAUCACAUGCAGGGCAAGUGAGAACAUUUACACUAAUUUAGCAUGGUAUCAACAGAAACCAGGGAAAUCUCCUAACCUUCUGAUCUAUAAUGCAAAGAGCUUGGCAGCUGGGGUCCCAUCGAGGUUUAGUGGGAGUGGAUCUGGUACACAGUAUUCUCUCAAAAUCAGCAGCCUGCAGGCUGAAGAUAUUGCAAUAUAUUAUUGUCAACAUUAUUAUGGUAUCCCUCCCACAGUGACUCAAGCCAUGACAUAA